AACGAACGCUGGCGGCAUGCCUAACACAUGCAAGUCGAACGAGACCUUCGGGUCUAGUGGCGCACGGGUGCGUAACGCGUGGGAACCUGCCCGUAGGUACGGAAUAACUCCCCGAAAGGGGUGCUAAUACCGGAUAAUGUCUUCGGACCAAAGAUUUAUCGCCGUUGGAUGGGCGCGCGUUGGUUUAGCUGGUUGGUAGGGUAAAAGCCUACCAAGGCGACGAUCCAUAGCUGGUCUGAGAGGAGGAUCAGCCACACUGGGACUGAGACACGGCCCAGACUCCUACGGAACGCAGCAGUGGAGAAUAUUGGACAAUGGGCGAAAGCCUGAUCCAGCAAUGCCGCGUGAGUGAUGAAGGCCUUAGGGUUGUAAAGCUCUUUUACCCGGGAUGAUAAUGACAGUACCGGGAGAAUAAGCUCCGGCUAACUCCGUG
Molecule: ribosomal RNA, 433 nt
Filed under: uncultured bacterium
Lineage: Bacteria
Description: partial 16S ribosomal RNA
Rfam family: Bacterial small subunit ribosomal RNA
Source: RNAcentral